Molecule: non-coding RNA, 252 nt
Filed under: Cnuella takakiae
Lineage: Bacteria; Pseudomonadati; Bacteroidota; Chitinophagia; Chitinophagales; Chitinophagaceae
Source: RNAcentral
UAUUUUUGCGGCGUAAGCGGUUCCCGGAGGCUCAAGUCUGCCCGAGGGAUUAAAAGGGAAGUCCGGUGCGAAACCGGCGCUAUCCCCGUAGCUGUAAGCUGUAGCGUUUCGCCCCCAGCGAGACACUGACCGAUCUUCAGACCACUGGGUCAAAAAGACCUUCCAGCUCUUAAAGAGAUGGAAGGUCUAAAAACCCGGGAAGGUAUCGGCCAGCCAGCAAGCCAGAAGACCUGCCGGUUACGCAAUUUCCAU